RNAcentral lists this long non-coding RNA (1514 nucleotides) under Homo sapiens (human). RNAcentral's name for it is "testis associated oncogenic lncRNA". The record is from RNAcentral. Lineage: Eukaryota; Metazoa; Chordata; Mammalia; Primates; Hominidae.
GGUGGGCAGGCGCAUGCGCGCGCGCAGCUGAAACGCCGGCUGAUGAAACUGACAAAGGCGAGAGCGCGCAGCAGCCCACAGCAGCCGAGUUCGCGCCGCCGGUAGGUGCUGCCAUGCCAGGGGGCGGGAUCGUGGAGCGCCUCGCAGAACCGCACGAAAGCAAAAACAAAGCCAUCUCUCCGGAGCAGAAAUAGAACAGACGUGGCCGGGGAAAGCCAAAUAUUUGUGAGAUGAUGUGAACAAAGGGGGAAAAGUCAAUCCAGGGAAGUUUGAGUUUCUGGUUGGAGGCUUCAGCGGCUCUGAUCGCUGGAUACUUUAAGAGAACAUCCUUUGCCCCCGCUCUCCCUCUCUCCCCGAAGAAAAAUAAAUCCUUGGCAAAAUGAGACUUGACGGCAUGAAAAGAAGGUCUCCAGACUGUCCCAGCUGGCGCGGGCGGGGCCGGGGCCGAGGUGCCGCUUGGUGACACUGCAGCCGCGGCUCAGCACUGUCACCCAGAAAGGCCCGCCGACGUCUGUAUGCAGGGAACGUGGCUCUUAGCAGAGCCUGGACAGGCGCAGGGCCAAGGAAGUCUUUGUUUUUGUUUCUUUCUCUAGCCCUUCCUGCCAAUACAUCAGGGAUAUAACUCCUUGGUGUUUCUGCCUUACAAUCGCUCCUUAUACCCCACCCAGAUCCUCAGCACUGCAGCUCCCACUGCCACUGCCCGCUGUGAGUCACCUCCCCCUCUCCCUUUUUUAAACCAAACGGCAAGGCCAUAUUGCAGUUAUCCAUAAAUGGAAAAGCAAGAAGCCACCAAUACCUGUUUGAGAAGAUGGCAUUUUAAUUAGCACACUCCGGCUGCCAUAAACCCGGGCUCCUGCCCCACCUCUCCCCCCGCCCCCUCCUCCCCCCUCCCCCGCCGUGCCCUCUCUCAACCUCCCCGCUCACCCCCAUCUAUGUAAAAAAGCCAUAAAGCCUCUCUCCAAUCGCUUUCUCGGAGGGAGUUUUUGCAACCCCCACAACACAGGUUGAUUGGAAAGGUCUCUCUCCCGGAUAACAACAAUUCAAUGUGCCUUGACAUUUUAAUAGCCUGCCGUCCUGGUGAACACAAUCGAGCAAGGCAGUGAAGCAAACAUCAUUAGGUGGCUGGACUCAGACACAUCACGCUCCAGUUUGGGUUCCAAGGUGCUUCUCUCUGGAUUUUCACCUGCCUUGCCAAAAAUGAUUGAUUACGCUGGGCCAACUGGGUGUCCGGCAAUACCCAACAAAUGACUUUGGCCCCUAACAGCAGGUCUUGGCCAGACAGAAAUCAAUAUUUCACCAUUAAAAUCUAUCAAAGAAGAGUUAAGGCACCAUCUGUCCCUGCCGCCUCUCUAUGGUGUGUGAACAUUAAAUCCGACACUUGUACUACAUGGGUAAUCAAUAUAUAGUGGUUCACAGAUCAUUUGUGGUUCCCUUUUAGCAGUGAUGGAUGUCUGGAAUCGUUGUGAUUCAUUUUGUCAGACCAUUAAACAAGAUUCUGUCCAGUUCCUUCCUGA